This 465-nucleotide ribosomal RNA is filed under the name Porphyromonas endodontalis. RNAcentral describes it as "bacterial SSU rRNA". It matches the Rfam family "Bacterial small subunit ribosomal RNA", at positions 28 to 480 of the family's 1533-position model. The record is from RNAcentral. Lineage: Bacteria; Pseudomonadati; Bacteroidota; Bacteroidia; Bacteroidales; Porphyromonadaceae.
GAUGAACGCUAGCGAUAGGCUUAACACAUGCAAGUCGAGGGGCAGCAUUAUUUUAGCUUGCUAAGAUAGAUGGCGACCGGCGCACGGGUGCGUAACGCGUAUGCAACCUGCCUGUAAUUAGGGAAUAACCCGGUGAAAGUCGGACUAAUACCCUAUAUUCUUCUUUCUCCGCAUGGGGAAGGACGGAAAGAUUUAUUGAUUACAGAUGGGCAUGCGUCCCAUUAGCUUGUUGGUAAGGUAACGGCUUACCAAGGCAACGAUGGGUAGGGGGACUGAGAGGUUGACCCCCCACACUGGUACUGAGACACGGACCAGACUCCUACGGGAGGCAGCAGUGAGGAAUAUUGGUCAAUGGGCGAGAGCCUGAACCAGCCAAGUCGCGUGAAGGACGACGGUUCUAUGGAUUGUAAACUUCUUUUGUAGAGGAAUAAUGGCAGCUACUGUGUAGCUGAAAAGCAAGUACUU